UGGCUUACAAUGUCUCUUACUACUGACCCC
Molecule: non-coding RNA, 30 nt
Filed under: Mus musculus (house mouse)
Lineage: Eukaryota; Metazoa; Chordata; Mammalia; Rodentia; Muridae
Source: RNAcentral